RNAcentral lists this unclassified non-coding RNA (229 nucleotides) under plant metagenome. RNAcentral describes it as "partial contains small subunit ribosomal RNA, internal transcribed spacer 1, and 5.8S ribosomal RNA". The record is from RNAcentral.
UCUCCGUAGGUGAACCUGCGGAGGGAUCAUUACAGAGUUCAUGCCCUACCGGGUAGAUCUCCCACCCUAUGUUAUUAUUACUUUGUUGCUUUGGCGGGCCGUUAGGCUCCGGCCCGACUACCGGCCCCGGCUGGUAAGCGCCCGCCAGAGGACCCAAAACUCUGAAUGUUAGUGUCGUCUGAGUACUAUAUAAUAGUUAAAACUUUCAACAACGGAUCUCUUGGUUCUG